AGUGAACGCUGGCGGUAGGCCUAACACAUGCAAGUCGAACGGCAGCACAGUAAGAGCUUGCUCUUACGGGUGGCGAGUGGCGGACGGGUGAGGAAUACAUCGGAAUCUAGUUUUCGUGGGGGAUAACGUAGGGAAACUUACGCUAAUACCGCAUACGACCUACGGGUGAAAGCAGGGGAUCUUCGGACCUUGCGCGAUUGAAUGAGCCGAUGUCGGAUUAGCUAGUUGGCGGGGUAAAGGCCCACCAAGGCGACGAUCCGUAGCUGGUCUGAGAGGAUGAUCAGCCACACUGGAACUGAGACACGGUCCAGACUCCUACGGGAGGCAGCAGUGGGGAAUAUUGGACAAUGGGCGCAAGCCUGAUCCAGCCAUACCGCGUGGGUGAAGAAGGCCUUCGGGUUGUAAAGCCCUUUUGUUGGGAAAGAAAAGCAGCAGGUUAAUACCCCGCUGUUCUGACGGUACCCAAAGAAUAAGCACCGGCUAACUUCGUG
Molecule: ribosomal RNA, 491 nt
Filed under: uncultured bacterium
Lineage: Bacteria
Description: partial 16S ribosomal RNA
Rfam family: Bacterial small subunit ribosomal RNA
Source: RNAcentral